GAAGUCAAGUGAGUUUUCAGUGGUUGCAGAACUAAGAUGUGGCAGCGCUGAGUGAGAUUAGAACCUAAAGCUUCUGAGAACAAAUCCAGCAUAAAGCAACAUUACGCUAGAUGCUUCUGAUGUAAGCGAACCUUGGUCUCAAAAAGCUAUGAUCAGGCGUUUCUUCCUAUCAUGGGAAGAAUAGAAAACACCACCUUAAUCAUGGAAAGGAUCUUACAAAACAAGCAAGAUACAAGGAAAAGAUGGGAAUAUGGAACAUCCGGCUUGGUAUGUUUGAAAGGGAGACUGAAGGAGCCUCAAUCUCCAGAGAGAAGAAGAGGGAAAUUGGCCAGCCCAAAAGCCAGAGAAGAUAUAUCCAAUUGCAGCUAUAAUCUUCAUAUGCUUUUGGGAUCAUUUCUUUAUGCCACAUUCUUUGAAGUUAAUAAUGGGCCAGAGAGGAUGGACAUGUUUAAAGCGUCUUACAUAAGACUUGCCAAAUUGCCCUCCAGAAGACUUCACCAGUUGAUAUUCCCACCAGAAGAUCCAUCCAUGUUGUUGCAAACGGCAAGAUUUCAUUCUUUUUUAUGGCUGAGCAGUAUUCCAUAUAUACUACAUGAAAAGAUGCUCAAUAUCACUCAUCAUCAGAGAAAUGCAAAUCAAAACCACAAUGAGAUAUCACCUUACAUCUGUCAGAAUGGCUAGAAUCAAGAAGACUGGAAAACCCAGUGUUGCUGAGGAUGUGGUGAAAAAGGAACCCUGGGCACUGUUGGUGAGAAUGUAAAUUGGUGCAGCCACAGUGGAGAACAGUACCGAGGCUCCUCAAAAAAUUAAAAAUACAAUUACCAUAUGAUCCAGCAAUUCCAUUACUGGGUAUUUAUUUACCUAAAGAAAAUAAAAACAGUAAUUUAAAAAGAUAUAUGCACCCUAUGUUUAUUGCAGCAUUAUUUGCAAUAGCCAAGAUAUGGAAGCAGCCCGUGUCCAUCCAUAGAUGAAUGGAAAAACAAGAUGUGUUUUCAUAUCUUCAGGACCUGUUCAUAGUGCUUAGCACAUGGUAAACACCCAACCAAUUCUUGCUGAAUGAACAAAUAGGUGAAUAAGUGAAUCAAUUAUAGCAGUACUUGGUGAAAUUAAGUAGACACUUUUAAUACCAAGUUGUAGGAUGCAACCCCAUAUGAAGA
Mirounga angustirostris (Northern elephant seal) is the source of this 1157-nucleotide long non-coding RNA. RefSeq lists it as uncharacterized. The record is from RefSeq and is a predicted model, not a curated record. NCBI's taxonomy places the organism in Eukaryota, Metazoa, Chordata, Mammalia, Carnivora, Phocidae. The transcript is spliced from 3 exons.